RNAcentral lists this ribosomal RNA (492 nucleotides) under uncultured bacterium. Its description in RNAcentral is "partial 16S ribosomal RNA". It matches the Rfam family "Bacterial small subunit ribosomal RNA", at positions 29 to 507 of the family's 1533-position model. The record is from RNAcentral.
AGUGAACGCUGGCGGUAGGCCUAACACAUGCAAGUCGAACGGCAGCACAGUAAGAGCUUGCUCUUACGGGUGGCGAGUGGCGGACGGGUGAGGAAUACAUCGGAAUCUACUUUUUCGUGGGGGAUAACGUAGGGAAACUUACGCUAAUACCGCAUACGACCUACGGGUGAAAGCAGGGGAUCUUCGGACCUUGCGCGAUUGAAGGAGCCGAUGUAGGAUUAGCUAGUUGGCGGGGGAAAGGCCCACCAAGGCGAAGAUCCGUAGGUGGUCUGGGGAGAUGAUCAGCCACACUGGAACUGAGACAAGGUCCAGAAUCCUAAGGGAGGCAGCAGUGGGGAAUAUUGGGCAAUGGGCGCAAGCCUUAUCCAGCCAUACCGCGUGGGUUGAGAAGGCCUUCGGGUUGGAAAGCCCUUUUGUUGGGAAAGAAAAGCAGCAGGUUAAUACCCCGCUGUUCUGACGGUACCCAAAGAAUAAGCACCGGCUAACUUCGUG